AAAAAAAAACACGAAGGGAAGCGCAGCGCAGCGCCCCUCUCCUACCUCCACCGCUCAGAGCCCAGAACCCUCCUGCUCCUCCUCCGGCGGCGACAGCGGCGGGCGGCGGAGACGAGCACGUGGAGCUAAGUCGUCACGGCGCACUAGCCACCCCUGCGUCGGCAACUUCACCAGCCCCCACUAGCUCAACCUCGCCGUGGCGUACGCACCCGCACAACCCCUCUCUCCCCUCCCUCCCCCCGAAUCCCCAGUCUAGGAGGGUUCAGCUCCCGCCCGGCUCCGCGUAUUAAUUCCUGCUACUCAGCUCGGCCUCGACCCUUCUGCGUUCGAAUUCCCGGGGCCCUAGGGUUCUGCUCCCGGCUAGAGCCGGGUGCCUGAUUCAUUCCUCUUCGUCCAGUCGUUUUUUCUGAUUCGCUUUCUGAGAGGAUCUGAGGUUAUGAGUGCAGGUGCACAGCAUUCGAUUCCUGAAAGUUCUUCUGCAGUCCGAUUCCACCUUCCAGUCUGGUUCGGAGAUACCUAUACCUAUAUAUAUCGUACACACAAUUGAGGUUAAGUAUCCCCUGCGAAAAUCAAUGGAGAAAGCUUCUGUUUCGGAUGAUUCUUCAGAUUCGAGCACUGAUUGUGAUUGGUCCCAGCUUCAGGCUGACCUGCUCCUCCAGAUCUUUGGCACUCUCGAGAUCCCUGAUCUCUUCAGCUCAGGUGCGGUCUGUCGAUCAUGGCACCUCAUUUAUCUGGAGGCCCGCCGUCUCCGGCGGUGCUUGCCGAACCAGAGCCCCUGCCUUGUUUACUCAUCCGGCGACCGUGACGCUAACACGGCCACCCUGCAUAACAUGUCCACCAACAAGCUUUACCACAUCACUCUAUCGGAGCCUGCCUUCCGCACACGCCACGUCAUGGGCUCCUCCUAUGGCUGGCUCAUCACCGCCGAUGAGCGGUCGAAUCUCAUACUAGUCAACCCUGUAACCAGAGCUCAGAUAGCUAUGCCUCCCCCUGAAACCAUGAACAAUGUUAGACUGCGCUACACCGAAGACGGUGUGCUAGACGGAUAUGAUGUUCUUUACAUGGAUCUGUUCUCUCGGGAUUUUGACACUGAAAUGGAGCCGUACCAUCUUACACUUGAAGAAGCCCGCUUCUACCUCUAUGCGAGGGUCGUUCUUUCUUGUGAUCCCUCCCAUGGAAACUGCACAGUUCUCGUAGUACAAUUGCCAAAGGAUCAACUCUCUUAUACUAGGGUUGGGGACACCAAAUGGACUUGGAUUGAUGCAAAUCCAAAUUGUUGGGCUUAUCAACAUAUACUUUAUAACAACAAUGAUGGUUUGUUUUAUGGUGUUCGUGGUAUGGGUGAGGUUGAUUCUAUUGAUCUUAAUGAACCUUCCGCUGAAGUUAAAGUUAUUUUGAAGCCGAUCAUAUCCUAUCAAGCGCAUAGUAGAUAUAUUGUUCAAGCCCCAUGGGGAGAUUUUUUCCAGAUAUGGAGGCAUGAUAAAUAUAAUAAGGAGAAUGGAAUAACAGAUCGGGUUGCAGACAAGUUUUAUGUGUACAAGAUUGAUUUUGUUAAACAAAAGCUCGUUGAAACAAAUAACAUCCAAGAUCACGCAAUUUUCAUUGGUUACAACAGCUCAUUUAUGCUUCCAGUGAAAGACUUUUCUACACUGAUUCCCAACAGCAUCUACCACACGGAUGACUUGCUGGAUUAUAUCUUCUGUCAAAGAUCUAGUCUUAGGCAGGCUGUUGUCUUUAAUAUGAAAGAUAGCAGUUUCAUUGAGUUAUCGCCCCCUAGUUCAGAUUCAAGAUUGAACUGGCCACCCUCGGUUUGGAUUCAACCAUCACUUACUUGAGGUUAGUGAAACUUACUAAUGCAGAAUAUAUAUGUUAUUUUAUCUGCUUUAUACUUUUUUGGGGUAUCUAUCCAUGUUCUGUAGUUGGCCACUUAGACCUUUGUAAUCGGCACAAGUGAUCAUGUCUCCCAUCUUGUGUAGCCAUGUACUUAGGCUGCAUGAUCAGUAUUAAAUAGAUGUUUCGGAUGUAAACCUAUCCGUUCAGUAGGAUAAGGUUGCUAUGGUUGUUUUCAAGGAACACACUUAACUAAGUACUGUCUUGUUUAAAGUGUACUUAUACAAUGUGUAGAACUUGUAGUGUUGCUAAAACACACUUAAAAUGCUUUUCCUUUUAUGCUUAUUAUGGCAUCCAAACCAAAUAUUUAUACCUAAAUCUAGAUCGAAAUCCUUUUGUUGCUCUUGGAUGGUUCGAUACAUGAUACAUCGACAAUUAAGGAGGCUUACCAAUAAAUAUUAAAGUGCCUCAACUAGCUUUGUUAAUAUCCUACUCCGAAUUGUUUCAUUCCUCUGUCCCUAAAUCUUUAUGUCAAAUUAUUAUCUCUUUCCUAAGGUACCAGCAUACUGUUUCGAGUGAUCCUAAAACAGAUUCUGAACUUUCGUUAGGCGUUACAAUAUCACUUUUCCAAUUUAUUAUCAUCACUGUUUAUGAUGGUUAGUAUUACUUAUCAUGUAAGGUUAGGUCAUGAAUUUGUCCACGUGCCAGAACCAUGACUAGGUUUCGAGAUCUUAUGGGUUUCAACUCUUGCCUACCCCUACUUGUCUGGGACUAAAACGCUUUGUUGUUGUUGUGUUCAAUACAUGUAUGAUCAACUAGCUGGUACGAAGUAAUGUAAAUAAAUCCAAUCAUGUAUUCAUGUAGUACAUCCAUCUCCUAUUCUCCAUACAAAUCCGAUGAUCACUGUAGAAAUAUAAUCAUAUUGCGUGAACCCCCAAAACAAGAGUAGCAAUUGUCUCGGACCAUUAGCUCAAAGUCAACUCUAAAUUUUGUAGACACAAUCAUUUAUUCAUUGUAAAUAACUAAUAAUCAUGUCUUUUGUGCUAGCAAAAUAUUGUACUACUAAAUAGUUGUAACACGAUGGUCGGAGCUAGUCAUCAUAACCGAUGCUUUAUUUUUUGUUUUUCAGAUUAUUCUUGCAAAUAUCUGACGAAUGGAACACUGUUUAUCAAGGCCUUCAAAUAUAGAGGCCCUACUUGGAAUUAGCUGCCUAAAUAGCACAUAACUGACUCAUGCCUAUUUUAAGGUCCUGCCAGUAAUAAACCAGCCUGUUUUGAAGGCACCAGAGCAUUCACAUCUUGGAAAACAAACUUGUCUUGAGAAGGUGCAUCCCUUGAUCAUCAGUUCAUCACAACAGUUCAAAUAACAAGAUUAGUGCCUCUGCUGCGUCUAUUGUUUUAGUUGGUUCAAGUGAGGAACCCGGGAUAUCAAUAACUGUUCGUCAGGCAAGUGUAAGGAAACAUUUCGUUUGGUGUACCACCCAUGCCGAUGAAUAUCUUUAAUUUAUGCAGACAGUUUGACCACUGCUAGUCCACUGUUUCAGCAAAGGUUUAUUGCUGAUGGAAUUGAAACUUUGGUCAGGAUAGGUAUCCCAGUUAACGCUGCUAGCUCCUUGUGGUGGAACUGUUUGUUCUUUGGUCGGUACCUGACCUUGUUCAUUAUAGGUGCACUUGUUUUAGAAAAUUUUGCCGUCAAGCAAAUGUUUCCCUUGCUUAGGAUUCUUGUUAUAUUCUCAUGUAUCGACUCUUCCAAGAUGAGUAAUCCAGAGCCACGACAUAGUUGGAACUUC
Non-coding RNA from Triticum urartu, 3619 nucleotides. The record is from RefSeq and is a predicted model, not a curated record. Lineage: Eukaryota; Viridiplantae; Streptophyta; Magnoliopsida; Poales; Poaceae.